This 135-nucleotide small nuclear RNA is filed under the name Sorex araneus (European shrew). RNAcentral describes it as "U11 spliceosomal RNA (ENSSARG00000017256.1)". It matches the Rfam family "U11 spliceosomal RNA". The record is from RNAcentral. Lineage: Eukaryota; Metazoa; Chordata; Mammalia; Eulipotyphla; Soricidae.
AAAGAGGGCUUCUGCCGUGACCAGCACACGUAGGGCAGCGCCCUUGCUCUACAUACAGAAUCAACAUCAAGAGAUUUUGGAAACCAUAAUUUCUCAGCAGCAGGGCAGCUGGUGAUUGUUGGUCCUGGUUCACCU